AGAGUUUGAUUAUGGCUCAGGAUGAACGCUAGCGGCAGGCCUAAUACAUGCAAGUCGAGGGGCAGCGCAGUGUAGCAAUACAUGGGCGGCGACCGGCAAACGGGUGCGGAACACGUACGCAACCUUCCUUUAAGUGGGGAAUAGCCCAGAGAAAUUUGGAUUAAUACCCCGUAAGAUGGUGGUCUGGCAUCAGAHGGHGAUUAAAGCUGAGGCGCUUAAAGAUGGGCGUGCGUCUGAUUAGGUAGUUGGUGAGGUAAUGGCUCASCAAGCCGACGAUCAGUAACUGGCGUGAGAGCGCGACCAGUCACACGGGCACUGAGACACGGGCCCGACUCCUACGGGAGGCAGCAGUAAGGAAUAUUGGUCAAUGGACGCAAGUCUGAACCAKCCWUGCCGCGUGAAGGAUGAAGGUCCUCUGGAUUGUAAACUUCUUUUAUGUGGGAAGAAACGCACUUUUUCUAAGGGUGUUGACGGUACCAUUAGGAAUAAGCACCGGCUAA
Molecule: ribosomal RNA, 500 nt
Filed under: uncultured Bacteroidota bacterium
Lineage: Bacteria; Pseudomonadati; Bacteroidota
Description: bacterial SSU rRNA
Rfam family: Bacterial small subunit ribosomal RNA
Source: RNAcentral